GGGGGUGAAGCUAAGUGGUAGAACCCUUGCCUAGGAUGCAAGAGGUCCUGGGUUCAAUUCCCAGCACUGCAA
RNAcentral lists this transfer RNA (72 nucleotides) under Fukomys damarensis (Damara mole-rat). It matches the Rfam family "tRNA". Rfam says of the family: Transfer RNA (tRNA) molecules are approximately 80 nucleotides in length. Their secondary structure includes four short double-helical elements and three loops (D, anti-codon, and T loops). Further hydrogen bonds mediate the characteristic L-shaped molecular structure. tRNAs have two regions of fundamental functional importance: the anti-codon, which is responsible for specific mRNA codon recognition, and the 3' end, to which the tRNAs corresponding amino acid is attached (by aminoacyl-tRNA synthetases). tRNAs cope with the degeneracy of the genetic code in two manners: having more than one tRNA (with a specific anti-codon) for a particular amino acid; and 'wobble' base-pairing, i.e. permitting non-standard base-pairing at the 3rd anti-codon position. Lineage: Eukaryota; Metazoa; Chordata; Mammalia; Rodentia; Bathyergidae. The record is from Rfam by way of RNAcentral.